GACGAACCGUGCGAACGUUGUUCGGAAUUACUGGGCGUAAAGCGCGUGUAGGCUGCUUCGCAAGUCGGGUGUGAAAGCCCUGGGCUCAACCUAGGAAGUGCACUCGAAACUGCGAAGCUUGAGUCCUGGAGAGGAAGGCGGAAUUCUCGGUGUAGAGGUGAAAUUCGUAGAUAUCGAGAGGAACACCGGUGGCGAAGGCGGCCUUCUGGACAGUGACUGACGCUGAGACGCGAAAGCGUGGGGAGCAAACAGG
RNAcentral lists this ribosomal RNA (253 nucleotides) under uncultured bacterium. Its description in RNAcentral is "partial 16S ribosomal RNA". It matches the Rfam family "Bacterial small subunit ribosomal RNA", at positions 524 to 776 of the family's 1533-position model. The record is from RNAcentral.